CACGGACACCAGUUCGGAGGACGAGUGUGGGAGUGCAGGUCGUUGUCGUCGGUCGUGUUUCGUGAAAACUCAGGGAAAUUGGCGCCUCUUCCGAGAUGACAUCGAACGCUCAGUUGAAAUGGAAAAUAGCGUGCCUGGCGUUAGUCCUGAUCUGUCAGAUGACGCGGCAGGCCGAGGGACAUCCUCGCGCUGACCAGGUGACCAGAAGACCGCCCAUGAAACGGGAUCUGGCCAAGCAUCAGAAUAUCUCAAUGAACGGGACUUCCGUAUCUCCGAAACCAGAGCAGACGACGUCGCGGGAGAGUCACGAGAGGUCAACGUUAGAGGGAAAAUUUGUCUUUCCAUCGGACGACGACUCAACGAGCAAAAUCGACGUAGCAGGGCCACCGUCCUGCCGAGGCAGUACCUUCUGUGAAAAUGUUAUCCAUUAUCCCAGGAACUUGGUGGACUUGGCGAUCCAGGAAAACAGCAGUCUCAAAUUACUAACAAGCGUGGAUGUGAUUAAUACGGUGUUCGACAUAACGCAUAGAAUACAUACGUCGGACGAAACACCGCUCUGCAGUUCCGACGAAAAAGUGGUCUAUCCGCAGUCCGCCGAGAACAUUAAUAAUGAGUGGUUAUACGUCGUGAAUCAGGAGAAUUUCAAGCAAGGCGUGCGCGUCGAAAUUUGCAGCAACGAGGAGCAAAAGUGUAACGUGAUCGACGGCUUCGCCGAUAACUACCAGACCAUAUGCAAGCAGAAGUACAUCUCUCGCGAGCUAGUGGCGUUGGGAUCCAACGGCAAGAUUCACACGGACACGUUUCGCUUCCCGGCGAGCUGUUGCUGUCAUGUCAAAUACACCGGCGGCCCGACCCCGAGGUCGGCGAGAUAAGCGGGCUGGUGAAAAAAAGGAAGGAAGUUAGUACAAGAGAAUAGCGUAAUGCGUUUUUUCGGACGUGGCUCUCCUCACAAUCACACAUCUUCAGCGCGAAGUAAAGCCGAGGGAGAAGCCGACGAAUUCCUGCGGCCAAUCACUCGGUUCUUCCUUUCUUUCCGCUCUGCGAAGGGAAUCGGCGUUGCGACAAGUGAGAAACCGUUAAGUGUAAGUAGGAAGGCUCUCACGUGUCCGCUGCGGUCCUCAGCAGAGUGUAACGAGCGGUAGUACAGCGAGUCACGUUGCGUUUUGUACGAGUUUCCCAAGUGUUUCCGCUCCUCGGGAAUAAUAAUCGGCAACGUUAUAAUAGAUGUGGUUGCAAUUAACGGGGACCAGCGGGCGCGUGUAUAUCUCUAUAAAGAUGUUGUAGACAGUUGUUUCUGUUUGCCGUGUUCACUUUUCUUUUUGUUUCUUUAUAAAUAACGCAAAUAACGCAUUUUUUUGUAUUCGUCUCUCAUCGACGCGAUCGAAUUUCUACACACACAUAUAUAUAUAUAUAUAAUAUAUAUAUAUAUAUAUAUAUAUAUAUAUAUAUAUAUAUAUAUAUAUAUAUAUAUAUAGCAGGAUAAGAAACGUGUACAAAAUUAUUAUAAUUAUUAUUAUGUGAUAUUAUGUGAUACGAUUAUAUAUGUAUGUAUGUAUACUUGUGUGCGCGUUAGGAAUUAUAUUAACGUUGUAUUCUCCCUUACGUAUAAAGUACGAAUAAAGAAAGUGAGCUGUC
RNA transcript from Odontomachus brunneus, 1635 nucleotides. RefSeq lists it as uncharacterized. Lineage: Eukaryota; Metazoa; Arthropoda; Insecta; Hymenoptera; Formicidae. The record is from RefSeq and is a predicted model, not a curated record. The transcript has 7 exons.